This 698-nucleotide ribosomal RNA is filed under the name uncultured bacterium. Its description in RNAcentral is "bacterial SSU rRNA". It matches the Rfam family "Bacterial small subunit ribosomal RNA", at positions 124 to 806 of the family's 1533-position model. The record is from RNAcentral.
ACCUGCCCAGAAGCGGGGGAUAACACCUGGAAACAGAUGCUAAUACCGCAUAACAACUUGGACCGCAUGGUCCGAGUUUGAAAGAUGGCUUCGGCUAUCACUUUUGGAUGGUCCCGCGGCGUAUUAGCUAGAUGGUGAGGUAACGGCUCACCAUGGCAAUGAUACGUAGCCGACCUGAGAGGGUAAUCGGCCACAUUGGGACUGAGACACGGCCCAAACUCCUACGGGAGGCAGCAGUAGGGAAUCUUCCACAAUGGACGAAAGUCUGAUGGAGCAACGCCGCGUGAGUGAAGAAGGGUUUCGGCUCGUAAAACUCUGUUGUUAAAGAAGAACAUAUCUGAGAGUAACUGUUCAGGUAUUGACGGUAUUUAACCAGAAAGCCACGGCUAACUACGUGCCAGCAGCCGCGGUAAUACGUAGGUGGCAAGCGUUGUCCGGAUUUAUUGGGCGUAAAGCGAGCGCAGGCGGUUUUUUAAGUCUGAUGUGAAAGCCUUCGGCUCAACCGAAGAAGUGCAUCGGAAAACUGGGGAACUUGAGUGCAGAAGAGGACAGUGGAACUCCAUGUGUAGCGGUGAAAUGCGUAGAUAUAUGGAAGAACACCAGUGGCGGAAGGCGGCUGUCUGGUCUGUAACUGACGCUGAGGCUCGAAAGUAUGGGUAGCAAACAGGAUUAGAUACCCUGGUAGUCCAUACCGUAAA